Molecule: transfer RNA, 72 nt
Filed under: Bos taurus (domestic cattle)
Lineage: Eukaryota; Metazoa; Chordata; Mammalia; Artiodactyla; Bovidae
Also listed under: 4 other names
Rfam family: tRNA
About the family: Transfer RNA (tRNA) molecules are approximately 80 nucleotides in length.
Source: Rfam by way of RNAcentral
UCCUUGGUGGCUCAGAUGGUAAAGAAUCUGCUUGCAAUGCAGGCGACCCAGGUUCUAUCCCUGGGUCAGGAA